CCUAAUCACGCAGCUUACGCUUGAAUCAGAUAAACGGUUACUUACUUAUCAGAUUACCAAAAUCAUAGAGUGAAAAAAGAAUAAAAAUUGAUAAAUAUGUACAUAUCUAUACUGACUGCUCAACAUUAAUGUGAGAGGUCAUAGUCUGAGCUGGUUGGUAUACAUCGCAUGUAAUAACUAAAUACCUAAGUUGCUUGAAAUCAAGUGCAUAAAAAAUAAAAAUUAGAGCUUUUAGGUUCAAAAACUAAUAACGUUGACACACCAAAUCAAGUAUUGAAAUUUCACCGUAGGUGUCGAGUUUCAUUCAAAGGAACUUGACUUAUAGUUUCUUUACCGUUUACUUCCAGAUUUAUUUUUUCUUUUUUUAUUACUCGUAUAGGUAUACCCUAUGCGGCUCUAUAAGCACAAGUUUUAAACGUACAAAAAAAUCAAAGAGCCAAAUUAAAAUCGGUCUAACAGUUUGUUCUUAAAAGUUCCGAGUUUUUAUCCUUCAACUGCUCAACCACGGUAAACUUCAGUGAUGAAAUUCAAUAAUUUACUAGAGGCUUUCACUCUCUUGAACUUGCAAGCUUUCAGUGCGGCGUUCCCCUCGGGAUGUAAGUCCAAAAUCAGUAAUGAGCUUGUCCAAUCGCACUAUCGUAGAAAUGCACUUGAGCCUAAUUCACCACAGGAUGAUCAUCUCAACUUGUUGGCUUCAGGAUUAAGAAGAAACCAAAAUGCGAUUCAAGAACAUCUGCAAACGGAUGGGGAACACUCGCCUUACCUUUCUGACAGGUAUAUUUUGGAAAAUCCCUUGGCAGAUAGCAAAGAAAUUUUAACAAAACCGAUGGAAAGAGUGAAUGAAAAAGAUGACAAGAAUAACCUGAAAAAAUCGCGACUCGACUCACGACAUUUGUCAAUGUAUUCGACGGAAGAUCUGGUUCAAGACACCUCCCUCAUUGUAAAAGUAAUGGUCUGGCCUAUUACAGAAUUGAUUUCCCUCAUUUCCGACACACUUAGUGUCGCGCUGAUGAUGAUGAUGAUGAUGAUGAUGAUGAUAAUUAACUUGAACUCGCUGUUUAAUAUUGGAAAUCUAUGCAAGGAUCCAGAGAGUAAUCAUCUUUGAGAAACACGAAAAAUUACGCAACACUGUGCUUCGCGUGUGUAAAAAGCUUCUGACUAAACCUCCGCCCCCCUUACGGCGUAGGGAUACGUAUAUUGCAAGUCCACUCCCGAGGUAGCAAUCGCAUCGUUUGUGAGGUAGGUUUUGCGGUAAGAUUAUGUAACUUUAAUGGGUUGUUUCACCUCAAAAAUUGUUCAUGUAGGUAACUAAGUAGGUAAAUACAAACAAAUAUGUAAAAUGAAUAAAUACUUAUUUAACUCUCAUUUUAAGUAUUAAGUAUACUAUCUGUCUUUAUGGGCAUCGAAUGUUUUGAAAUUCGUUGUUUUACAAACUUUUCAAGAUCCAUCCCUGCCUACUAAAAGAACAUUUGAUAGAGGGGGCGAGUAAAAUGAAUAUUCCCAAUUCGACCGCGGUGAAACUCCCACAUCAGGUAGGUAUCUCGUUUGCGGUGUUAUUAAGUCUCUUCUCUCAGUUUAUUUUUUUAAAGGAGCUCAAAUCAUUUAUUAUUCUUUGAAGUUUUCUCAAAAGUUCCUUGAAAAACAAAAUCACCGAAAUUGUAAGGGUUUAUGUUGAAUAGUUUUCAAUUCAAAGACUGCGACGUCGCAAACCAUGAUACGAGAUUUGGGAGUUUCACCGCCGAUAGGUAUUGGGUACCAUUUUCCGCAGUUUUGCGUUAUGAUUCCACAAUUUGCCUCUUCUCUCAUUCGAAGGCGCGCAACGGCACCAGGAUCAACGAAGAGAAACCACACGGAAAAAACGAGUUUAGGGCUGGUACCUGCACCGAAGGUCCCAGCCCUAACCGGGUAGGUAAAAUUGCUUCACCUCCACCGCCAUGGGGGCAGGCCCGGCGCGCGUAGAGUCCAAAUCUACCUGCUCCAGGGUUCAGCCCUACCUGAUAAGAGCUAGACCCUCUCCAGGUAGGGCUGGGCCUUACCCGCGCAGGGCCUGCCCCUGUGGCGGUGGAGGUGAAGCAAUUCUAGGGCCCAGCCCUAAUCUCGUUUUUUCAGUGCACCCUUGAGGAUUGGGCACUUACUGAUGGAUUUUAACUGAUAAUCUUUCCUAAUAGACCCAAGUAACACGAAGCAAGGAAAAUAAAGCAAUAAAGCUGCGAUUUAAUACAAUAAAAUUGCAAUUAAUUUAGGAAGGAAUUGCAAUAUUUUUACAACAGCUGGUCAAAAUUAAAGUCGAUUUUAACCAAUCAAUAGAAUGAAUUCCAUACAUCCUAAGAGAUAGGAAAUAUGCAAUACAAAGAAAAAUUGCAACUUUGUUGUGCUGAGUUUCAACGGGAGGAACCCCUUCAGUUAGUAGUUAGGCAACAGUUACAACACUCCAACGCAGUAAGUAGCAAUAAUAUUCGUAUUAAUUGCAAAUAAUCUCGAAUUAUUACAAAAUGUGCUAACUAGUUAAACUAGUGGUAUUAUGGACAUGAUCUGUAACUAUGCUUAGGUUCUCCAUGUCUUAAGUAUUGAGACUGACCAAGUAAUUCUUCGAUGUGAAUAAAUCCUUGGAACUGAAAAUGACCCGGAAUUUCAUGAUCCUGUUCCUCUAUACCUACAUAUACCUAACAAUAAUUAAACUUUUUCAGCACGGGGAAAACCCCGCAUGGAGGUAAUAUAAAUCAAUUUUUCGGUUUUUGAUACAGCACACUUGCUGCUCCUUUCAAAAAUACCUACUGAGUCAAAAUUUCAUUAAAUUAUUGAUUUGCAGUAUAAAUAAUGUUACAAGCGUUUGAAGUGAAUUCAUUUCUAAGACUGGCAACAACAACAGCGAGCUAAAAAAGCAGUUUUCUCAAAUUCCCCUUUUUGUAUUGAAAAUUAUACUACUGCCCAUGGCCGGAUUUACCUACUUGCCGCCCAUGGUCCGCCUGUAUUCUGCCACCCUCUUCUCAUUCAUUUUGAAACAUCAAUAAAAACCAUCAAGUGAACGUGCCGGAGGGAGAAGGGUGCAUAAGACGCGUUCACUCGUGUUGGACACAUUUUUUGCGUACCCUGCUAAAAAUUUCUCAUGGGAAUGACAUGUGAUCACAUGCGCUCUCAUGGGAAUGGCAUGUGAUCACAUGUGCUCUCACGAGAACGGCAUGUGAUCACAUGCGCUCCCAGGGGAAUGACAUGUGAUCACAUGUGCUCUCAGGGGAAUGACACGACAUCACAUGUGCUCCCCUGGGGAAUGGACAGGGGAGCCCGUUAGCUCCCCUGGGAGCUAACAUGUGACCCGUGCGCUCCCAUGAGAGUGUAUAUGUGACCCGUAUACAUAUCGUCGCUUCUCUGACGUAAGGGCGUAUCUCGAUUUGCACAUGAGCCCCGGAAAGCAUAGGUUUAUAUGGAGAACAGGGCUCAAGUGGAAAUCGAGAUACGCCCUUACGUCAGAGGAGCGACGAUAUAUGUGCUCUCGCGGGACCUCUCACGAUGUCCCGUGGAUCAUCAUUGAACUUCCGGAAAAAUGCCACGGGCCCAUAUGUGACUGCAGUCCACCACAGUAGAGCAUCACAGAACUAUAUUCAUGGGAAAUGCAUACAGGACCUUACAGCGUCCUAUAAAGACGUCACCGAACUUAAGAACGGAUACGGUGCGACAAAACUGCGUCUCUAUCUACUUUGGAUGCUUUUUAAGUUAUACCCUGAUAAAAAUAUUUCCCCUGGGGCUGCACACGAGAUCACACCUGCUUCCCUGAGGAAUACCAAGGAAAGCCCCUGUGCUCCCCAAUGAAUGACAGGAGGUCACCUGUGCACCCAUGGGAGUCUGGGGAUCUUCAGUCCUGUCCCUCCGUCCCCGCGCGUCCCGUAGCUUUCAGGUUCGGUUGGCGAACUUCCGGCUUAUCGGGUUUUUUUUAGUUUAUUUAUUUUUCAAUCCAUUUCAUUUAUCUAUUGAUUUUUUUAUUUAUUGAUUUUUGUUAAUUUAUUGUUUUAUAUUUUUAUUUAUUGAUUUAUUUUCAUAAUAUUUUUCAGGUGCCUUAUAGCCAGAAAGAUGCUAUGGAGGCAAAUAAAUUCGAUACAUUACAUACUAUUUUAUAUAAAUAAUUUAACAUACUUUAUUUCUUUAUGAAAAUACAUUUUAUUCUACUUAUGAAUUGUUUAUUUUAAUCUACUUUAUUUUAUUUAUUUAUAUUAAUCUUUUUUUAUUUUAUUUUAUUCAUUCAUUGAUUACAAUCUGUUCAAUGUAUUUAUUUAUUUAGGGUAAUUUAUUUAAUUUUCUUGUUUAUUUUAUUUCAUUCAAUUUCAUUCAUGUAUUUUUCUUCGUUUUAAUAACUAUAUAUACUUUUUUUUAUUUUGAUUCAUGUGUUAUUCACUUCUUUCUUUCCAAAAAUUGAUCUAAUUUUUUAUUAUUUUUGUUUCUUUGAAACUGCGUAGGUAAUGUAGAAAUCUUCAAGAAUAUCGUUGCUUUCCAUCAUGGAAUCAACGCGGCGCGGCGCUGGGGAUGUUUAUGCUUGCUAAAUUACCCUCGGUUAGCACGUGAGCCUCAGGAGCUCCACGGCAGCGGCACUCGGGCGAUCACGAGGGUUAAGUAACGUCGGGCGUAGUUAGUACUUAGAUGGGAGACCGCUUGGGAAUGACCGCACUGCGGAGGUUUGCAUAAUAGAAAAGAAUUCCUCUCAUGUCCUAAACAUACCACGGCAAUAGUGCGAGUUAAUUUUCGCGUUUAAUCCUUAAUCUUUUUCUUCUAUGGCUCUGCUAGUGGAGACGGCAUAUUGGGCACGGACUAGGGAGCUUCCCAUGGGAGCUACUUCUCAUGGGAGCUACUUCUCAUGGGAGCCACUUCUCAUGAGAGCCACAUCUCAGGGGAAUCAUUCCCCUGCCCAAAACAGCCUGAGUGAAAUUCCCAUGAGAAAUUUUUAGCAGGGUAAGCCCUGUCAUAGUUCACGGAACUUCGCGCGAAAGUUCAGUUCCAUAAACCUUUCGCUGUGGGGACAAGGCAAUUGUAUUUGUAAGAAACGAACUAAAAAGUUAAGAAAGAACGAACAUAAAUGUGGUUUAAUAAUUUUAACUUCCGCGCGCCGCGCUGACCACACUGUGUUUGACGCAAUGCGGGAAGUAUUCA
This 5136-nucleotide long non-coding RNA is filed under the name Bemisia tabaci. Its description in RNAcentral is "lncRNA ENSASIAIIG011964". Lineage: Eukaryota; Metazoa; Arthropoda; Insecta; Hemiptera; Aleyrodidae. The record is from RNAcentral.